This 917-nucleotide long non-coding RNA is filed under the name Homo sapiens (human). RNAcentral describes it as "HSALNT0047864". Lineage: Eukaryota; Metazoa; Chordata; Mammalia; Primates; Hominidae. The record is from RNAcentral.
AGCUAAAUAACUGAGAGGAUACACAUUUGCUGACUUGCAAACUCAUAGUCUUUCUAUAACACAUUGAAUUUGGAAGAUUUAAAACCUGUCUUUUUCAAUCUGAAUAAAGAUGAGCGAUUUCAGUCUAAGUUUCACUUUUUAUCCCUUUGAGCAACAUUACCCUGAAAGCGGAUCCUUGGUGUUUUCUCCUUUGGUGGAAUGCUUUCUCUUUCUUUGACUGAUUGUUUGCCCUAAAUUUUAGAAAAUCCCACAUGCUUCAGAAAUGGAAGAGUGAGGUGAAAUCAUCCCUAGGAAAUAAGACAGCAGUCAGAAUUGUAUGGUUAAGUUAAUCUUAACAAUGAAAGAAUUACUAAAACUUUUCUUCAGAAAAUCAGCAAGAAACAUUUCAGUAACCAUGAUAUUCUGUUCUAGAAUAUUUCUACCUCAUUUUUCUUCUGUGUUUUGAUUUUGAUGGGAUAGCCUAAGUUUCUAAGUUAUUUUUUGAGAUUUUGGAUUUAAUACAGAAGCAGAAAUUUGUCACAGUAAGGGAGGAGGCCACCCCUCAUAUCGUCUUAUGCCCAAUUUCUGCCUCCAAAGAAAGAAGUAAAAACUAAAAGGCAGAAAUGAAAUCCACAGGCAGACAGCCUGGCGCCGCACCCUGGGCCUGGUAGUUAAAGAUCGACCCCUGACCUAAUCGGUUAUGUUAUCUAUAGAUUACAGACAUUGUAUAGAAAUGCACUGUGAAAACCCCUGUCCUGUUUUGUUCUGAUCUAAUUACCUGUGCAUGCAGCCCCCAGUCACGUACCCCCGCUUGCUGAAUCAAUCACGACCCUCUCACACGCACCCCCUUAGAGUUGUGAACCCUUAAAAGGGACAGGAAUUGCUCACUCAGGGAGCUCGGCUCUUGAGACAGGAGUCUUGCUGAUGCCCCCGGCCGA